RNAcentral lists this ribosomal RNA (480 nucleotides) under Edaphus sp. QH36. RNAcentral's name for it is "partial large subunit ribosomal RNA". The record is from RNAcentral. Lineage: Eukaryota; Metazoa; Arthropoda; Insecta; Coleoptera; Staphylinidae.
GACCUGCCCAUGAAUAUUUAAAGGCUGCAGUAUAUUGACUGCUCACCGGGCACAUGUUCCUUAAUCUUUUGUUUCUAAGCUAGAAAGCUGGGUUGAAGGCUCCACAGUCUGUUUCAAUUACUCUUUUAUAAUUUAAUUUUUUAUGACCUGACCUAGAAUAUUUUUAUUAGACGAAAAAACCCUAUAAAAUUCUAUUUUAUUUAAAAUUAUUUAAGUAAAUUUUAUUAAUUAAUUUUUAAUUACCGUUUGUUUGGGGUGAAAUAAUAAUGUAAUAAACUUAUUUCCUUAUAAUCAUUAAUUACCGAUUAAUUGAUCCAGUUUUAAGAUUAAAGAAAAAAUUACCUUAGGGAUAACAGCGUUAUUUUUUUUUAUAGUUCAAAUAAAAAAACCCGAUUGCGACCUCCACGUUGCAAUACAAUAAACUAUUGGGGUAAAAAUUAAUAAUACCUCUCUGUUCGACUUUUACAUCUUUACGUGACC